Bubalus bubalis (water buffalo) is the source of this 697-nucleotide long non-coding RNA. RefSeq lists it as uncharacterized. Lineage: Eukaryota; Metazoa; Chordata; Mammalia; Artiodactyla; Bovidae. The record is from RefSeq and is a predicted model, not a curated record. The transcript is spliced from 2 exons.
CUGAGCAACUAAGCAUAGCACAGCUUGGGCGCCAAGUACAAAAAGUAGAUCUCCACCCACCCACCAGAAUCUGAAGUUAAUUCCCAGGCCUUAAUGGGCUCAACACCACCUUACUCUCGCGAGACUGCCUCUCUCCAAGUCAACGGCUGCGCAAGUGGGAAGAGCCGGAGGAACACACAGUCAGCGGACCGCGGAGGCGUGAGGGGCAGCCGACGGGCCGGUCCACUCGCAGGCCACCUGACAGUCACGCCCUCUCCGUGACCUCCUCGCAUGCACUUGGACAGCACCCUGGGUUCGCGGAGGCUGUCCGGGGCUCUGAUGCGUGGAGAUCUUCGGAUCCUCGUGGAGACCCCACCAUCCCAGACAGGACAGGACACUGCCGUCUGUUCCAGCCCCAGCCUUCCCUUCCGGUAUCUCUGGUCACCCUCAUCCAGGCCCUGCAGCACCUUGGGGUGGUGGCGUGAAAGAUGGUCUCCAGAAGGGACUUUCAUUCAGGCUCACCAAAGCUGGUCUUCAGAGUCCAUCGACCUACGUACUGUGAAAGGAAAGUGCAAUGCAGUCAGUAGUGGCAAGAGAACUCUCUAAAUCAGAGCCAGGAGGCCAUCAAGAUAAUGUGACUUAUGCACGUCUCAACCUGGAUGGAUGACCUUUUGACCUAAUGAAAUCAUCCAGAACAUCUGCUAGAAACUUCUACAGU